GCACUGUUGGUGUCACAGUGGCUAUCAUGCUUGCCUCCCAUACUCUGAGAUUUCUUUGCAUGGACAAGUGGGUCGGGUUCGAAUCCCAAGCGGUGUA
Molecule: non-coding RNA, 97 nt
Organism: Rhodocollybia butyracea
Lineage: Eukaryota; Fungi; Basidiomycota; Agaricomycetes; Agaricales; Omphalotaceae
Source: the annotation of a GenBank genome assembly